This 927-nucleotide long non-coding RNA is filed under the name Homo sapiens (human). Its description in RNAcentral is "HSALNT0156123". The record is from RNAcentral. Lineage: Eukaryota; Metazoa; Chordata; Mammalia; Primates; Hominidae.
GCGGAAGUUGCAGUGAGCCGAGAUUGCGCUACUGCAUUCCAGCCCGAGUGACAGAGCGAGACUCCAUCUUAACAACAACAACAAGACAAACGCACAAGAUUUGGGGACUCAGCCAGGCCGGGGUUUGGUUCUUGGUUCUGUCACUUGCUAGCUCAGUGGCUUUUGGCAAGUCAGUUUAUCUGCAGCUUCGUUGCUACCUCUACAUUAUGGAGAUGAAAGUGUCCACCUCCAAGUGUGGUUUUGAAGAUUCAAUGAGAUAAUGUGAAUAAAGUGUGUAGCGAAGUGUUUGGCACAAAGCUAAUAUUGAGUCAUUUAUUAUUACCACGGACAUUAAUAAUCAGAGGAAAAUAAGUUUUAAAGGUAAAACUUCUUUUGCGAGAAACCCUCAUGGACACAGGCAGCGGAGUGGCGAAGCGAUCCCUGAGGUCAGGUUCUGAGUUCAGAACCAGGGCAAAGCACAGAGCAAGCGGCACUCAAGUCUUCCCAGUGAAGAUGCUUUUGGUUGCAAGGAGCAGAAACUCUCUCACUGAGCUGGAGUCCUGAAUUCGUUAUGAUAUCAGGUGUCAGGGAAACCAGGGCCACACUACAAACAUGGCUGCUUUAGGCCAUGCAGCUGUGGACCACAGUUGGUGACAGAUUCCCAGGAUGCUGGCUAGGAUCGGACCCAGGCGGCACUUCUGGAUUCCUAGUUUUUGCUGGAGAGGGGUCGACUGCCAGAUUAACAGGCUGUCUGGCAAAUGGCGGCCUUCGGCAGCACUUAGGUCCGAAAACACAAAGGUUGGCCUAAGAAAACCAUAAUUAACUACACACACACACACACACACACACACACACACACACACACACACACUCACUAGAAAUAAAAGACUAGUGUCUCUUUUAAUUGUCAUUUUUAUAGCUCCCCACCGCAGCUGCCCCCCACCCUUC